UACGUAGGGUGUAAGCGUUAAUCGGAAUUACUGGGCGUAAAGCGUGCGCAGGCGGUUGUGUAAGACAGAUGUGAAAUCCCCGGGCUCAACCUGGGAACUGCGUUUGUGACUGCACGGCUAGAGUACGGCAGAGGGGGGUGGAAUUCCUGGUGUAGCAGUGAAAUGCGUAGAUAUCAGGAGGUACAUCGAUGGCGAAGGCAGCCCCCUGGGCCGAUACUGACGCUCAUGCACGAAAGCGUGGGGAGCAAACAGG
This 253-nucleotide ribosomal RNA is filed under the name uncultured bacterium. Its description in RNAcentral is "partial 16S ribosomal RNA". It matches the Rfam family "Bacterial small subunit ribosomal RNA", at positions 524 to 776 of the family's 1533-position model. The record is from RNAcentral.